This is a non-coding RNA of Mycena filopes, 100 nucleotides long. The record is from the annotation of a GenBank genome assembly. NCBI's taxonomy places the organism in Eukaryota, Fungi, Basidiomycota, Agaricomycetes, Agaricales, Mycenaceae.
GCCUCUGUGGAUCAAGGUUGGAUCACCUCAGUGUUGUCCAACUGUAGUCACUCCCUUAGCCCUACAUGAGGAGAUGUGGGUUCGAAUCCCACCGGGGGCA